RNAcentral lists this long non-coding RNA (831 nucleotides) under Aotus nancymaae (Ma's night monkey). Its description in RNAcentral is "lncRNA (ENSANAG00000039481.1)". Lineage: Eukaryota; Metazoa; Chordata; Mammalia; Primates; Aotidae. The record is from RNAcentral.
ACACAUACACACACACACACACACACACACACACGGGGCUCGGACAUCACACAGUUAUCUGAUGUCCUCUCUUUCUGUACUCUCGGGUCUCUAAGUUUCUCACAAUCUGCAAGUUGAUUGAAAAACUCCCAAUUCUGUAUUCUUAUAUAUGAAGAAGUAAUACUGCAUCUGUAAGCCACACCCUUGUUUCCUCCUGCUUACUUUAUCUUCUCCCAUAUUGUUCUAGGAAGAUGUGUUUGCCUUCUCGGUCUGCCAAGAAAGAUAUAAAUAAGGACAACUGUACAAAAGAGAAAAUGAUGAGGGAGACCUUGGAGAUAGAGUUGGGGGCCUUGGAGGAUUCCCUACGUUCAUCAGAAAGAGCUCACUAAUGUGGAAAACCAAAGUGAGGAAAAUUGAUCGUUUGACACCUUGGAGAUUUUACCUGAGGGAAGAUAAUUUCUUCAAGCCUCUUGUGCCUGUGAGAGUCAAGCGCUGUUUUGCAGCUGCAGUACUGAUAAUGUAUUCACAUUCUCCCCAGAGCAAUGGAUUCUUUAACCUUAAUAUUGAGACUGGAAUGAGAUUCUGUCCUCUAGAGGUCACCAAUGCACCAGAUUUGAAGGCCAUGGAGGCUUCCAAAAUGCUCAGGAAGAGCCAUGUGUCCUGUUCACGUUUGAAUGAGAGAGAAAAUAAGAGUAUGGGAAUCGCUUCCUCUCUCGCCUUUCCUUGACACAACUUGCUCAGGAGGAAUGCAAAGGAUGGGUGGGAUCUUCCCCAACAUGAGAGUGAAAGGAAGCCACAUACCAAACAGAUGACGGUGGCUCAAGAAAUGCUGCAGCUGCUAAUUCCACCUCC